Molecule: non-coding RNA, 31 nt
Filed under: Rattus norvegicus (Norway rat)
Lineage: Eukaryota; Metazoa; Chordata; Mammalia; Rodentia; Muridae
Source: RNAcentral
UGGCUCUAGUGAAUAACCCUAAAGAAAGCCA